AUUGAACGCUGGCGGAAUGCUUUACACAUGCAAGUCGAACGGCAGCACGGACUUCGGUCUGGUGGCGAGUGGCGAACGGGUGAGUAAUGUAUCGGAACGUGCCCAGUCGUGGGGGAUAACGUAGUGAAAAUUACGCUAAUACCGCAUACGAUCUAUGGAUGAAAGCGGGGGAUCGCAAGACCUCGCGCGAUUGGAGCGGCCGAUAUCAGAUUAGGUAGUUGGUGGGGUAAAGGCCCACCAAGCCAACGAUCUGUAGCUGGUCUGAGAGGACGACCAUCCACACUGGAACUGAGACACGGUCCAGACUCCGACGGGAGGCAGCAGUGGGGAAUUUUGGACAAUGGGCGAAAGCCUGAUCCAGCCAUUCCGCGUGCAGGAUGAAGGCCCUCGGGUUGUAAACUGCUUUUGUACAGAACGAAAAGGUUUCUACUAAUACUAGGAGCUCAUGACGGUACUGUAAGAAUAAGCACCGGCUAACUACGUGCCAGCCGCCGCAGUAA
This 500-nucleotide ribosomal RNA is filed under the name uncultured bacterium. RNAcentral describes it as "partial 16S ribosomal RNA". It matches the Rfam family "Bacterial small subunit ribosomal RNA", at positions 30 to 523 of the family's 1533-position model. The record is from RNAcentral.